Molecule: ribosomal RNA, 272 nt
Filed under: Burkholderia sp. C5
Lineage: Bacteria; Pseudomonadati; Pseudomonadota; Betaproteobacteria; Burkholderiales; Burkholderiaceae
Description: partial 16S rRNA
Rfam family: Bacterial small subunit ribosomal RNA
Source: RNAcentral
UCGAACGGCAGCACGGGUGCUUGCACCUGGUGGCGAGUGGCGAACGGGUGAGUAAUACAUCGGAACAUGUCCUGUAGUGGGGGAUAGCCCGGCGAAAGCCGGAUUAAUACCGCAUACGAUCCACGGAUGAAAGCGGGGGACCUUCGGGCCUCGCGCUAUAGGGUUGGCCGAUGGCUGAUUAGCUAGUUGGUGGGGUAAAGGCCCACCAAGGCGACGAUCAGUAGCUGGUCUGAGAGGACGACCAGCCACACUGGGACUGAGACACGGCCCAG